UUUUUACUACAUUGAUUCGAUAGCAAAUGCAAGUUUGUAAUCUCUAUAGAUGAUUAAUCAUUGUCAUGUCUGAGUAAUAUGUUAAAUACGCCGUUCCCAGCGGGUCUUGGUAAGACUUGUCCAAUCACAAACGAGUAAAAGAAGAGUAAACCCAAGCAACACAGAAUGCUGGAGUAUGGAAAAGUGUUAACAGUCGACGUUUCUGGUCUUCACAGUGAAAGACACCAGCAGAAUGCUAGAAAUGUGAGUGGGAACGGCGCCCAAAGAGGAUCUGCACGCCUCGUCGGCUGAGUUGGUGUACGGCGCACCACUGGUCGUCCCAGGAGAGUUUACACCAGCCCCAAGGGGGCAAGAGGAAGAACCUGCAGCAGUCCUGGGCAGAGUACGCGAGAGGCUCGGUAACCUGGCCCCCAUACCCACUUCACAGCAUGGACAGAGCCUGACCUGCGUACCCAAAGACCUGCAAAACUGCAACGGGAUGAUGCUGUCCACCUUGAAGCUUGAGAGGACAGUGACUGAUCCAGAGAGAUGUACAAGAUGUCUGCUAGAACCUCUAUUAACUGGGCUGCACAGUUCCUCACCACCUGACCAGGUAUACAAGCUCCCCAGCCUUAUGUGGAUUGAUCCUGACACAUCAGCUGCGGCCAGACAGACUGCGAGCUUCUUGGGGAGAAGUGGAGGCCUUCCUCACUGGCACGUCAUUCCAUGCAUCAAACUGUGUGCAAACGACAUUCAGCUUAUCAGGAAGAGAGGUAUUAUUCUCGUUGAUGUGCAAGAACUUGUACUCUGUUAUGGUCUGAAUGUCCUUGCCACAUGUGCCCCAUGUCUCUGGUUUUACUGAAAUGGUUGUAUAUUCUCUGUGAAUAAUCCCGUUUUGCCUUCCUAAUGGCACAGGAAAGUGCAGCUCUUGCCACCCUGAGAACUGUCUUAUCACCAGAUCUGAAGGCAGCAUCCCGAUUUCUCAGAUGUGAAUGGCCCUCUACUGUCAGCCAUGGCUUCUGAUUUGCCCUUCCUCACGUAGAUGAUGUCCUCAAUAACAGCGAUGUCCUCAGUGUGGUUCUACAUAGCCAAUCACAGAUCCCACAUAUUCAAAGUCAAUGUGAUAGGUAGUCACCUCCCUGAAUAUGUUCCAGUCCAAGUUUUCAAAACAGUCCCAUAAUGCUGAGAUUACUCAUUCUGUCCAGGUCUUUAUUUCCCUUUGUAUAGUACAGCUGCUAUGUAAGAUGUCAUUCAGUUAUCAAACAAGAUUAAAGCAUGUCAAGUUUGCCAAAAAGGCUUGGUAACAGCACUUGGGAGGAAUGGGAUGCAGCAAGAUGAGAGUAAAAUAUGGUGAACAUCAAGAAAAAAAAUGACAGCUUCAUUUGAUUUUGCAUACGAAGCGAAAGGAAAAAUGUAGA
This is a long non-coding RNA of Hypanus sabinus (Atlantic stingray), 1397 nucleotides long. RefSeq lists it as uncharacterized. The record is from RefSeq and is a predicted model, not a curated record. The transcript is spliced from 3 exons. NCBI's taxonomy places the organism in Eukaryota, Metazoa, Chordata, Chondrichthyes, Myliobatiformes, Dasyatidae.